AAUUAUUAAGUUUAAAGGUUUUCCGCCUUUUAGUGCGGAAGUUAAGGCAUUAACCAUUCGGCUUGGGGAUUCCGGCGCCAGGGUUGAAAUUCAAAGGAAUGGCCGGGGGCCCGCCAAAGCGGUGGACCUUGUGUUUUAAUUGGAACCAACGGGAAGACCCUUACCAGUUCUUGCCUUCUUUGGCCAACCCUAGAGUUAGGGUUUUUCUUUGGGGAGCAGAUUGCCAGUGGGUCCAUGGUGUUGUUCAGUUCGGUUCGUAAAUGGUUGGGUUAAUUCCGGCACCGAGGCCAACCCUUGUUUUUGGUGGCCUUCAUUCAGUGGGCCAUUUUAAGGUGCCGGCGGGGGCCAAACGGGAGGAAGGGGGGGAGGAGGUCAAUUCUUCAUGCCCCUUAUGCCCUGGGUUCCCCCCGUGUUCCAAUGGCCGGUACAAAGAGCGCCAAGCCCGGGAGGGGGAGUUAUUUUCAUAAACCCGUUUUCAGUUCGGAUGUUAGGUUGCAAAUGGCUUCCAGGAAGCGGGAAUCGUUGGUAAUCGGGGAUCACCAGGCCGCGGGGAAUAGGUUCCCGGCCUUUUUCAAAACCGCCGGCCCCACCACGAGAGUUGGUACCACCGGAAGUGGGGGGGGUACCCUUUUGGAGCCAGCCGCCUAAGGUGGGACAGAUGAUUGGGGGAAGUCGAACAAA
RNAcentral lists this ribosomal RNA (681 nucleotides) under Bacillus cereus. Its description in RNAcentral is "partial 16S ribosomal RNA". It matches the Rfam family "Bacterial small subunit ribosomal RNA", at positions 812 to 1494 of the family's 1533-position model. Lineage: Bacteria; Bacillati; Bacillota; Bacilli; Caryophanales; Bacillaceae. The record is from RNAcentral.